This 252-nucleotide ribosomal RNA is filed under the name uncultured bacterium. RNAcentral describes it as "partial 16S ribosomal RNA". It matches the Rfam family "Bacterial small subunit ribosomal RNA", at positions 524 to 776 of the family's 1533-position model. The record is from RNAcentral.
UACGGAGGAUGCGAGCGUUAUCCGGAUUUAUUGGGUUUAAAGGGUGCGCAGGCGGCACGGCAAGCCGGCGGUCAAAUCGCGGGGCUCAACCCCGCCCAGCCGUCGGAACUGCCGGGCUAGAGUGGGCGAGAAGUGCGCGGAAUGCGUGGUGUAGCAGUGAAAUGCAUAGAUAUCACGCAGAACUCCGAUUGCGAAGGCAGCGCACCGGCGCCCUACUGACGCUCAGGCACGAAAGCGUGGGUAUCGAACAGG